This 330-nucleotide ribosomal RNA is filed under the name Phyllocoptes piceanis. RNAcentral describes it as "eukaryotic LSU rRNA". It matches the Rfam family "Eukaryotic large subunit ribosomal RNA", at positions 666 to 944 of the family's 3401-position model. Lineage: Eukaryota; Metazoa; Arthropoda; Arachnida; Trombidiformes; Eriophyidae. The record is from RNAcentral.
CCAAGGAGUCUAAUUAGGCAUCAAGUCGAUCGGUCUUGAAUAGGCCAGACUGGAACUAUAUGUUCUGAAUGAAGGCACAGAGAAAUCAAAUCAUGUGAUCAUUUCAACAAUACCAGUUGAUUUGCGCAACAUGUACCUGCUCGUAUAGCAAUGUGCAGCAAUGUACUUGCUGGGCGGAGUAAAGAGAUGCUUGAUUGGUACCCGAAAGAUGGUGAACUAUGCUUGGGCAAAUUGAAGCCAGAGGAAACUCUGGUGGAGGAUUGUAGCGAUUCUGACGUGCAAAUCGAUCGUCAGACCUGAGUAUAGGGGCGAAAGACUAAUCGAACCAUC